Non-coding RNA from Hordeum vulgare subsp. vulgare (domesticated barley), 136 nucleotides. NCBI's taxonomy places the organism in Eukaryota, Viridiplantae, Streptophyta, Magnoliopsida, Poales, Poaceae. The record is from Rfam.
AACAUAUUACCAUCGUCCCAAAAUACUUGUCUUAGGUUUGUUUAAAAAUGGAUGUAUCUAAAUAAUAAAAUAUGACUAGAUACAUUCAUAUCUAGACAAAUGUAAGACCAGAAUUUUGAGACGGAGCGAGUACUUA